RNAcentral lists this ribosomal RNA (435 nucleotides) under uncultured bacterium. RNAcentral's name for it is "partial 16S ribosomal RNA". It matches the Rfam family "Bacterial small subunit ribosomal RNA", at positions 28 to 507 of the family's 1533-position model. The record is from RNAcentral.
GAUGAACGCUGGCGGUAUGCUUAACACAUGCAAGUCGAUCGGACUCUUCGGAGUUAGUGGCGGACGGGUGAGUAACGCGUGAGAAUCUGGCUUUGGGUUCGGGACAACCACUGGAAACGGUGGCUAAUACCGGAUGUGCCGAGAGGUAAAAGAGAAAUUGCCUGAAGAUGAGCUCGCGUCUGAUUAGCUAGUUGGUGAGGUAAAGGCUCACCAAGGCAGCGAUCAGUAGCUGGUCUGAGAGGAUGACCAGCCACACUGGGACUGAGACACGGCCCAGACUCCUACGGGAGGCAGCAGUGGGGAAUUUUCCGCAAUGGGCGAAAGCCUGACGGAGCAAUACCGCGUGAGGGAAGAAGGCUCUUGGGUUGUAAACCUCUUUUCUUAGGGAAGAACAAAAUGACGGUACCUAAGGAAUCAGCAUCGGCUAACUCCGUG